Molecule: ribosomal RNA, 538 nt
Filed under: Antissa sp. SLW-2002
Lineage: Eukaryota; Metazoa; Arthropoda; Insecta; Diptera; Stratiomyidae
Description: partial 16S ribosomal RNA
Rfam family: Bacterial large subunit ribosomal RNA
Source: RNAcentral
UGUUUAACAAAAACAUGUCUUUUUGAAUUUAAUUUAAAGUCUAGCCUGCCCACUGAUAAAUUAAAUGGCCGCAGUAUUUUAACUGUGCAAAGGUAGCAUAAUCAUUAGUCUUUUAAUUGAGGGCUUGUAUGAAUGGUUGGACGAGAUAUUAACUGUUUCAAUAAAAAAUUUAGAAAUUUAUUUUUUAGUAAAAAAGCUAAAAUUUAAUUAAAAGACGAGAAGACCCUAUAGAUCUUAAUAAUUAAAUUAUUUUAUUUAUAAAGAAUAUUUAAAAUUAAAUAAUAUAAAUUAUUUUAUUGGGGUGAUAAUAAAAUUUAAUGAACUUUUAUAGUGUAUAACAUAAAUUAAUGAUUAAUUGAUCCAUUAAUAAUGAUUAGUAAUUCAAGUUACCUUAGGGAUAACAGCGUAAUUUUUUUGGAGAGUUCAUAUCGAUAAAAAAUAUUGCGACCUCGAUGUUGGAUUAAGAGAUAUUAUUGGGUGUAGUAGUUCAAUGAAAUAAGUCUGUUCGACUUUUAAAUUCUUACAUGAUCUGAGUUCA